Molecule: ribosomal RNA, 255 nt
Filed under: uncultured bacterium
Lineage: Bacteria
Description: partial 16S ribosomal RNA
Rfam family: Bacterial small subunit ribosomal RNA
Source: RNAcentral
AUACCGCAUACGUCCUACGGGAGAAAGCAGGGGACCUUCGGGCCUUGCGCUAUCAGAUGAGCCUAGGUCGGAUUAGCUAGUUGGUGAGGUAAUGGCUCACCAAGGCGAGGAUCCGUAACUGGUCUGAGAGGAUGAUCAGUCACACUGGAACUGAGACACGGUCCAGCCUCCUACGGGAGGCAGCAGUGGGGAAUAUUGGACAAUGGGCGAAAGCCGGAUCCAAAAGUGCCGCGUGUGUGAAGAAGGUCUUCGGAU